Molecule: ribosomal RNA, 497 nt
Filed under: uncultured bacterium
Lineage: Bacteria
Description: partial 16S ribosomal RNA
Rfam family: Bacterial small subunit ribosomal RNA
Source: RNAcentral
GAUGAACGCUGGCGGCGUGCCUAAUACAUGCAAGUCGAGCGAACGGACGAGAAGCUUGCUUCUCUGAUGUUAGCGGCGGACGGGUGAGUAACACGUGGAUAACCUACCUAUAAGACUGGGAUAACUUCGGGAAACCGGAGCUAAUACCGGAUAAUAUUUUGAACCGCAUGGUUCAAAAGUGAAAGACGGUCUUGCUGUCACUUAUAGAUGGAUCCGCGCUGCAUUAGCUAGUUGGUAAGGUAACGGCUUACCAAGGCAACGAUGCAUAGCCGACCUGAGAGGGUGAUUGGCCACACUGGAACUGAGACACGGUCCCGACUCCUACGGGAGGCAGCCGUAGGGAAUCUUCCGCAAUGGGCGAAGGCCUGACGGAGCAACGCCGCGUGAGUGAUGAAGGUCUUCGGAUCGUAAAACUCUGUUAUUAGGGAAGAACAUAUGUGUAAGUAACUGGGCACAUCUUGACGGUACCUAAUCAGAAAGCCACGGCUAACUACGUG